AUUGGGCGCUGAAGUUUGAUUCUAGUUCUCAAGUGAUCUUUUCCUGCGUAUAGUUCUGCCAUAGGACCUUGAUAAAUGGAAUUUCUCGGUUGCGAAGUACUCUACUUUUCUGGUCUAUGAUGCCUACAGGUACCUCCUUAUAGAAUAGAUUUUCCUAGAGUAAUAGAGGCUCGUGGGACAGGAUGUGUGAGGGGUUCGGGUUGUAUUUGCGUAGCAUAGAUACAUAGAACAAAUUAUGAACCCUACAUAGCUUUGGAGGUAGUGCUAGUCUGUAGGCAGUCAUAUAAAUCUGGUUUAAGAUGUCAAAUGGUCCGAUGAACCAGGGAUUUAGUUUUCCUCU
RNAcentral lists this long non-coding RNA (340 nucleotides) under Carica papaya (papaya). Its description in RNAcentral is "long non-coding RNA (CPAP_LNC016594)". Lineage: Eukaryota; Viridiplantae; Streptophyta; Magnoliopsida; Brassicales; Caricaceae. The record is from RNAcentral.